This 301-nucleotide ribosomal RNA is filed under the name uncultured bacterium. Its description in RNAcentral is "partial 16S ribosomal RNA". It matches the Rfam family "Bacterial small subunit ribosomal RNA", at positions 509 to 809 of the family's 1533-position model. The record is from RNAcentral.
CAGCAGCCGCGGUAAUACGAAGGGGGCUAGCGUUGUUCGGAAUUACUGGGCGUAAAGCGCACGUAGGCGGAUAUUUAAGUCAGGGGUGAAAUCCCAGAGCUCAACUCUGGAACUGCCUUUGAUACUGGGUAUCUUGAGUAUGGAAGAGGUGAGUGGAAUUCCGAGUGUAGAGGUGAAAUUCGUAGAUAUGCGGAGGAACGCCAGUGGCGAAGGCGGCUCACUGGUCCAUUACUGACGCUCAUGCACGAAAGCGUGGGGAGCAAACAGGAUUAGAUACCCCCGUAGUCCCUGUCUCUUAUAU